GUAGGAGGCGAGCGUUGUCCGGAUCUAUUGGGCGUAAAGAGCGCGCAGGCGGCACCUCAAGUACGCAGUGAAAUCUCCCUGCUCAACGGGGAGGGUGCAGCGUAAACUGGGGAGCUAGAGGACGGUAGAGGGGGGUAGAAUUGCUGGUGUAGCGGUGAAAUGCGUAGAGAUCAGCAGGAAUACCCGUGGCGAAGGCGGCCCCCUGGGCCGAACCUGACGCUGAGGCGCGAAGGCUAGGGGAGCGAACGGGAUUAGAUACCCCGGUAGUCCUAGCAGUAAACGAUGGCCACUAGGUGUGGGGGGUGUUGACCCCUUCCGUGCCGAAGCUAACGCAUUAAGUGGCCCGCCUGGGGAGUACGGUCGCAAGACUA
RNAcentral lists this ribosomal RNA (371 nucleotides) under uncultured bacterium. RNAcentral describes it as "bacterial SSU rRNA". It matches the Rfam family "Bacterial small subunit ribosomal RNA", at positions 527 to 896 of the family's 1533-position model. The record is from RNAcentral.